GAUGAAGAACGUAGCGAAAUGCGAUAAGUAAUGUGAAUUGCAGAAUUCAGUGAAUCAUCGAAUCUUUGAACGCACAUUGCGCCGCCUGGUAGUCCGGGGGGCAUGCCUGUUCGAGCGUCAUUUCACCACUCAAGCCUCGCUUGGUAUUGGGCAACGCGGUCCGCCGCGUGCCUCAAAUCGACCGGCUGGGUCUUCUGUCCCCUAAGCGUUGUGGAAACUAUUCGCUAAAGGGUGUUCGGGAGGCUACGCCGUAAAACAACCCCAUUUCUAAGGUUGACCUCGGAUCAGGUAGGGAUACCCGCUGAACUUAAGCAUAUCAAUAAGCGGAGGA
RNAcentral lists this unclassified non-coding RNA (331 nucleotides) under soil metagenome. Its description in RNAcentral is "partial contains 5.8S ribosomal RNA, internal transcribed spacer 2, and large subunit ribosomal RNA". The stretch from base 1 to 120 matches the Rfam family "5.8S ribosomal RNA", at positions 35 to 154 of the family's 154-position model. The record is from RNAcentral.